GAUGAACGCUGGCGGCGUGCCUAAUACAUGCAAGUCGAGCGAACAGACGAGGAGCUUGCUCCUCUGACGUUAGCGGCGGACGGGUGAGUAACACGUGGAUAACCUACCUAUAAGACUGGGAUAACUUCGGGAAACCGGAGCUAAUACCGGAUAACAUGUUGAACCGCAUGGUUCAACAGUGGAAGACGGUCUUGCUGUCACUUAUAGAUGGAUCCGCGCCGCAUUAGCUAGUUGGUAAGGUAACGGCUUACCAAGGCAACGAUGCGUAGCCGACCUGAGAGGGUGAUCGGCCACACUGGAACUGAGACACGGUCCAGACUCCUACGGGAGGCAGCAGUAGGGAAUCUUCCGCAAUGGGCGAAAUCCUGACGGAGCAACGCCGCGUGAGUGAAGAAGGUCUUCGGAUCGUAAAACUCUGUUAUUAGGGAAGAACAAAUGUGUAAGUAACUAUGCACGUCUUGACGGUACCUAAUCAGAAAGCCACGGCUAACUACGUG
Molecule: ribosomal RNA, 497 nt
Filed under: uncultured bacterium
Lineage: Bacteria
Description: partial 16S ribosomal RNA
Rfam family: Bacterial small subunit ribosomal RNA
Source: RNAcentral